Long non-coding RNA from Mobula hypostoma (lesser devil ray), 2183 nucleotides. RefSeq lists it as uncharacterized. Lineage: Eukaryota; Metazoa; Chordata; Chondrichthyes; Myliobatiformes; Myliobatidae. The record is from RefSeq and is a predicted model, not a curated record. The transcript has 3 exons.
UCCUUUCUAUAUUCUUCCCUGUGUAUCUUUAAAUCUCUCUUCCUUGCUUUCUUUCUCCUCUCACCACUGUCAACUCUGUCCUUCGCCUUUCUAUAGCCAUUCCUCUCCUGUACCUCUCACAUCAUUUAAGCCCACUCUGUCACUCUACCCUCGCUUUCCCUCUCACCUGCAUUCAGAUAUCCGGCAUUCAAGAGCUCAAAGACUGGUGGGCUCUCCCCGAGCUCAAAUUCACCACCUCACUCCCCCAAAUCCGGUUGUUCACAUAUGUUUCUUCCAGUGUGACUCCUGAUCAUUGUCCUCCACCGCCUGCGCCGGCUGCCAACUGUGAUGCAGAGUGACGUUUGCAUGGAGUUCCACAACAGUAUCGCUUAAUCAUCAUGGACGUGAGUGAAAUCGGCUCUCGCCUUGGAUCCAGCACCCUGGUGAGGAAAUUACAGGAAUUUGAAUCUCCAGGAAGAAUGUGGUACAGUGGACAUGUUUUGACAAUACAUUUACCUGGAACUGCCAAGAAAGGAUUCUGCAAGUAUUUGAAUCUUCAUGAAGUAUGUGGUAAUGUGUACGUGUUCUGACAGAAAAUUCACCUGGAACUGUCAAGAAAGAAGUGUAGGUUUGAUUUAUUGCUAUAAUGUUACGAAUGCUCGUGAUGAUUUGGCAAGAACUAAUGCAAUCAGCCAGAUUUGCUGCAUCCAGUCCAAGAGUGGAACAACAUUCAGAUGAACAUCAGACUCUGAACAAUACAGUCCAGGAACAUGUCUGUAAUUUAUCAUGUAAUGCCUCACUAAACUAAUGCCAUCUGCGAAUAUAUUGUCCUCAUGUAUCCAUUCCCUGCACAUUCAUGAAUGCACUUGAUCACCUUCUGAUCACCUCUGUCGUAUUUGCCUCGUGUACCAGCCCUGGAAGGGCAUUUCCUACACUCACCUCAAUGUGUGAAGCAGGUUCUUUGAGCUGCACCACACAGCAAUACCCAAUUUUAAAGCAGCCUUCUCAUGGGACAAUGUACAAUGGCCAAUCAAACAAACAACAGGUACGCUUUUGCAAUGUGGAAGGAAACCCAAGAAGCCGGUGAAAAUCUGGUGGUGUCACAGGGAACCGGUUCCCUUUUCAGAAGGCCUUUGACAAGCUGCUGCAGAUGAGGCUGCUCGGCAAGAUAAGAGCUCAUGGUAUUCCAGGAAAGAUGCGAACAUGGAUAGAGCAUUGGCUGAUCGGCAGGAAGCACGGAGUGGGAAUAAAAGGAGCCUUUACUGAUUGGCUGCUGAUGACUAGUAAUGUUCCCCAUUGGUCUGUGUUGGGACCGAUUCAUUUUAUGUUAUAUCUCAACAAUUUGGAUGAUGAAAUUGAUUGCUUUGUGGCCAGGUUUGAAGAUGGUAGGAAGAUGGAGGGAAACGUAGGCAGUACUGAGGAAGCAGACGUUACAAGAUUCACCCCUUGUAAUAAUGAUCUCUAAUGAUCAUAAUAAUGAGAAUCUGUAAUUACUGUCAAGUGCCUUUAUUGUCCCAAUGUUUGAACUCCUGAACUGACACAACCAAAUAGCUUUGAGCUCACCAACUAAUUUUCCUGGCCUUCCAUGAACAGGCAAAGAACAGAAAAUAUAAUACCAGUUAAUAAGGACUAUCUGCUGCUGCCUGCACAUUCCUUCUAGUCCCAUUUCAAGUCUCCACGUGUCCAUAGGGCACUACACAUCCCCAAUAAUCAUUCUGCUUCAGAGUCACCUCCAUCUGCACACUUGAAGCAUCUGAUUUUAUGUUCAUUUCUUAACAAUUCAGAUACUGCAUUCCAGUGUCGUAAGAAGAUUUCCUUGCGACAUGACAAAUUCCAAUUGUGGACUAGGAACCCACUCUUCUCUACUUUCACAGACGGGCGAUUCUUUAAAAGGCGCUGAAGAAGCAGACUUAAAUAUAUUACAUGCUCCUCAUAAAAGUCCGAAAAACUCAAACUGUCAUCGAUGUACACAAACAUGAACUUGUUGAACAUUUCUCCCAGAAUGUCUGACAGAUAACUGGACUUUUCAAAACAGCCUGUUGGGGUUUUAAAAACUGCCUUCUAGUUGUCUUCUUCAUGAAACAAAUACAUUUAGAAGCAUUCCUCAACUUCAGUUUUAUGAGAAUAGUUGCCCUUUGCAGUAACUCAAAUACUCUGUUAAUUAUGGAGAAGCAUCUCCCCCUCCCCCUCCAACUUUCAAAUCC